This 341-nucleotide ribosomal RNA is filed under the name uncultured bacterium. RNAcentral describes it as "bacterial SSU rRNA". It matches the Rfam family "Bacterial small subunit ribosomal RNA", at positions 9 to 355 of the family's 1533-position model. The record is from RNAcentral.
GAGUUUGAUCAUGGCUAAGUUAAACGCCGNCGGCAGGCUUAACACNUGCAAGUCGAACGGAUUUGAGUACUUGUANUUAAAUUAGUGGCGAACGGGUGAGUAAUGCCUAGGAAUCUNCCAUUUAGUGGGGGACAACGUUUCGAAAGGAACGNUAAUACCGCAUACGCCCUACGGGGGAAAGAGGGGGACCGCAAGGCCUCUUGCUAAAUGAUGAGCCUAGGUCGGAUUAGCUAGUUGGUGGGGUAAAGGCCUACCAAGGCGACGAUCUGUAGCGGGUCUGAGAGGAUGAUCCGCCACACUGGAACUGAGACACGGUCCAGACUCCUACGGGACGCAGCAGA